GCUUGCUUGGACCAGUAUAAGCAAGCCAGGGCAAACAUUUAGGCUACAUUGUGGGAGCUAUGAACAUAAAGUACACUGAUUUCUUUAUUACGGCUAGCAGAUAUUUAAGAAUGUUAGCACGGGUCUUUGAAUAAAUUUUGCUUCUAAGAGAAGUUACUAUUUAUUCCUAAUUAGAUGGGGAGGAAAGUCUUUGAAGAGGAACCUCUACUUUACUUUUUACAAUAGGUUGAACUUUGGGAUGUCUGACCAAAUGUUUUCCGUCUCACCACUCAGAGUGGCCACAUGCCAGUUGCAAAGAAUAAGAUUAUAUUCAUGAGCAAGUCAGAAUCUGUCCUGUGAUAAAUGCCUGGGGGAUGAAGGUCAGCAUCUGCUCUGUCAUUUGAAUUUGAUAUUAGAAAAUUUAAAUCUGAAAAGAGAAUCUCGAAGUGGGUAUCAGAAGAAGAGAAGAUGUGAGGGACAAAAGGAUAGGAUCUACAGUGCUGUUACAUCCUCACUGGCAUCAACAAUUUAGACUCAUCUCUAUAUCCAUGUGUAACUUGUUACAGUCUGCAGUCAUAAGCUGGCCUCAACACACUGAAGUAUAUUCAGCAUUAUAAACACACUGAAACACCAAAAAGGCUGAGAUGCACAUAAUUUGAAGAGUGAAAAUGGCUCGAGAGCAUGAAGUCUCAUUAUCUGUAGGUUCUCACCUCACUGAAGCAAGACUGGUAAAUAAGUUUUGAAGAUGAAGAUAAAACAGAAUAAAUUAAGGAAGAAAAAAAAGAAGAGGAAAAUCUCCCAAACUGGCCUGUCUUCAAUGUUCCUUUGAACUGUCUCUCCUACUGCACUCUUUACAUUUUAAUGACUUGAGUGUUUACCAUUUAUGCAGGAACAUACCCUUAAUGUGCUCAGAAGUGAUGCGUACCUUCUAUACAUGAGACAGACCACCCAGCAAAAUACCAAUCCAGCUUAGGGUCUGUGAAGUAUUAUCCAUUUGUCUAAAAUGUACUGUACUAAACCUUAUAAUACUUUGUUAGCUGGUUAUGUCAAAUUCUCAUUGUAAUAUAAAGAUUUAAGUAAAAUAUGAACAAAUUGACAAUAUCCAAUACCAAAAGGCCAUAAAAACCUUUUUCAGAAAUAUAACAGACUUACAGCCUUGCGUAGGUCAGCAAAAAUGGUAUGUACCAGAGCAUAGUUAUGAAAAUUUAAAGAAGUGUAUAUUUCUUCAUUUAUUCUGUACCCGUUCAACAUUGUGACAAGCAUAACAGAUUUACAAUUCUUACAUACUUUUUGCUAUAUUUCCCCUCUCAAUAUGAUGUCAUUCCAUUUUUUUUUACAAUUUUUACAAAUGAAGACAGAGGCAGCUUAUUAAGACCAACUACUCCCAGGUUUAUUUGUGAAGAAAGUAAGA
This 1390-nucleotide long non-coding RNA is filed under the name Homo sapiens (human). RNAcentral describes it as "HSALNT0318909". The record is from RNAcentral. Lineage: Eukaryota; Metazoa; Chordata; Mammalia; Primates; Hominidae.